AAAUUUUUUUUAUCCAGGAGUAAGAUUUCCUCAUUGAAGAACUUGAUCGUCAUCUAUAACACAGCCCUUCCUGCUCCUCGUCCUCGUAACCAAGUCUAAAAGAGACAGUCGGAACACAAACAAAUAGCUAAUAACCGAACUGUACUUCUAACUAGUCAUACAAAAGGUUCGAUGUACCGUACAACGUUGCGAGAAGCCUCAGUUUGGGAACCCUACCAGGGAGUUUGUACUACCAGAUCGAUAAUGUUUAAUUGGUUCUAGUCGUCCUGAUUCUUUUAUGUAUAAACUGUGAUAAACUCUACCAGGGAGUUUGUCGGUGAGGCGGUGUGGACGGCUGGGGACACGUCGUGUGGGUGGGGACGCGAGCCGGUGGCACCGCCGCCGCCGGGCCGAGGUCGCACGGCCGCCGGCACCGCCUCCGGGGCCUCCGCCAGCAGCCCCGCCCGCCGCGCUCCACCCUCGGCUACCCGCGCACCCUCAUGAUGCUGAUGGCCGCCCGGUAGAUGCCGCUGUAGUGCGUGUUCCGGUAGGAGCAACUGCGGCGGCCGUGGUAGGAGCGGGGGUGGCUCAGGUACCGGGUCCACAUGUCUUGUCAUCCGCUUUUCAUACCCCACUUCAUGAGCCUCCUACUCUAGAACUACUCCUGGAGCUCCGGAGCCUCUCGGGGAGGCUUGUUCUGCGCGUGUCCUCGAGACGGAACUGCCCCUUUCGUCGCCUCAACCACGUCACCGCUUACACCCGCCCCAGCCGGCACCUCCCUCUGAACGACCAGUCUCGUCGUCCUCGUUCUUCCAACUCCGCCAAGUCCCGUUCUGUUCUUGUAAAUCAACCUAGGUCUCAUAACUCUAACGUCUCCUGAGUUGUUUCCUUUAACUUACGUAUAUUCCUAGCUCCUGGAAAUGUAACCUACGUACUACUACUAGUAGGUGGCUCGUCGUGUAGUAGAACCUUUUCGUCUACGCUUAAAGACGAUCCAAACGAAGAGGCCAACAGGGAGGGUAGUUGAGAGAGUCGAGGGUUUGGUAAUUGGGGCAGGACCAACAAGGAUAUAAAAGAAAAACAAAACAAAAAUGGUUACGUGAAAAGAACUGUACAAAAUCACACAAGGAAGGAUGCCGGUCGAGCUGGUAAACGAGGCGUCCCUCAAAAAUCGAGUCUUCCUCGUUUAUUAAACUCUUACGUAACCAGAAAAGACGUUAGACAACAAGGAUUCAGUAUUGAACAAGGAAAAGAAAAAGAAUCGACGUACAAAAGUAGGUUCAGUCUUAAAAAUACACGUGAACUCUUGAUUGGUACGAACAUGUCUCUGUAUAUUAUGUCGUGUAAGCAAGGUAUCCAUCCACAUCCCAAUUGGUUAUUAUUAACGGAGGAAAAAUAAAAGAUUUUGAAUGUAAGCUUUAUACAGGGAAAUCCCCCAGGGGAUCUCACAUGUUG
Molecule: ribosomal RNA, 1434 nt
Filed under: Triticum aestivum (bread wheat)
Lineage: Eukaryota; Viridiplantae; Streptophyta; Magnoliopsida; Poales; Poaceae
Description: partial small subunit ribosomal RNA
Source: RNAcentral